Molecule: long non-coding RNA, 533 nt
Organism: Hyla sarda
Lineage: Eukaryota; Metazoa; Chordata; Amphibia; Anura; Hylidae
Exons: 2
Source: RefSeq, a predicted model, not a curated record
CAGAGAGCGGAGGUACCGGACUAAUCCCCGCCCCCUAUCUAUGAAAGCUACCGUCUAAUCCCCGCCCCCAAAACGGUGCUACUCCGCCCCUUGCGGACUAUUACCGGCUAAAAUCCACCCCUAUCCGGUGGCACUUCCGAUUUACGCCCUGAACAAGGUGAUGACGGAGCUGGAGCAGCAGCAGUUUGAGUCUUUCUGUAAACAGAUGCAGACGUCCAGCAAGUGACGGGAAGAUGCGGCGCCAUUAGAUGAGGCCGUCCCGCUCAGAUCGCCAUGCUCUCCGCUUCUUACCCAUGACUUCAUUUUGCUUUGUAUUAUGUGGUGGAUCCGUGGAGCGGACAUUGCUGGAGACGUAUCGGGGUGAUUGAGCAGAAUGUGGGAGACGCAGGUGACCGGAUCACUCGUCGCACAAUCUUCGCGUGCCGCACCUUACAGAAGAGCGAUGAGACUGUGCGGCAACGAGUGAUCCGGCCAGCGCAGUCUCCAUGGAGCAUCACCAGUGUUAUAAUAAAAAUGGCCUACGUUUACACAGA